GAUACUUAAGCAACAAGGUAUAUUACUCAGAAACAUGCAUGAUUGAGGGAAUGUCAAUGGCAUCCCAAUCUCUCGCAAAGCCUCCUGGUGUAACAAAUACAGGCCUCGGGCCAAAUCCAGUUGCUUCUUCUGUGAUUGCGUUGACAAACCCAGCACUACAGAAUGCCCCGGUGGAAACUCCUGAAGUUGGGGAAAAGCCAAGACCUUCCUUAUGCUUGUUCUCACGAAGCUGUAUUAACUUGCCCCAGCCGGCAGCUUGACCCUCUUGGACGGC
Molecule: long non-coding RNA, 274 nt
Filed under: Medicago truncatula (barrel medic)
Lineage: Eukaryota; Viridiplantae; Streptophyta; Magnoliopsida; Fabales; Fabaceae
Description: long non-coding RNA (MTRU_LNC003117)
Source: RNAcentral